UUUAAAGGGCCGCGGUAAUUUGACCGUGCGAAGGUAGCAUAGUCAGUAGUCUUUUAAUUGAAGGCUUGAAUGAAAGGUUGGACGAGAGAUAGGCUGUCUCCUUUACGAAUAGUUGAAUUUAACUUUUGAGUGAAAAGGCUCAAAUUUUUUGAUGGGACGAUAAGACCCUAUAAAACUUGAUAUAAAUUUGACUUAAUUUGCGAUUGUUUGUGAAAAGUAGUUUUGCUGUGUUUAUAUUUCGUUGGGGAGAUGUAGAUAUAAUAUGUAACUGUCUGUUUAAUGUAAUAAUUAUAAUUAGUUUGUGAUCCUUCAUUUGUGGAUUAGAAGAAUAAGUUACUUUAGGGAUAACAGCGUGAUUUUCUUUGAGAGUUCUUAUCGACAAGAGUAGUUGCGACCUCGAUGUUGAAUUAAAGUUUCGGCUAGGUGCAGCCGUUUAGCUGGUAGGUC
Molecule: ribosomal RNA, 447 nt
Filed under: Macrobrachium bullatum
Lineage: Eukaryota; Metazoa; Arthropoda; Malacostraca; Decapoda; Palaemonidae
Description: partial 16S ribosomal RNA
Rfam family: Bacterial large subunit ribosomal RNA
Source: RNAcentral